This 881-nucleotide ribosomal RNA is filed under the name uncultured eukaryote. RNAcentral's name for it is "SSU rRNA". It matches the Rfam family "Eukaryotic small subunit ribosomal RNA", at positions 566 to 1471 of the family's 1831-position model. The record is from RNAcentral.
CCAAGCAGCCGCGGUAAAUUCCAGCUCCAAUAGCGUAUAUUAAAGUUGUUGCGGUAAAAAAGCUCGUAGUUGGAUUUCUGUUGAAGACGUCCGGUCCAUACCACGUAUGCGCAUCUGGCUCGGCUUCGGCAUCCUCUCGAAAGACGUUUCUGCGCUUGAUUGCGUGGAGCGGAUCUCGGGACUUUUACUUUGAGGAAAUUAGAGUGUUCACGGCAGGCUAUCGCCAGAAUACAUUAGCAUGGAAUAAUACUAUAGGAUCUCGGUUCUAUUUUGUUGGUUUCUAGAAUUGAGAUAAUGAUUAAUAGGGACAAUUGGGGGCAUUCGUAUCAACACGUUAGAGGUGAAAUUCUUGGAUCGUGUUGCGACGAACUACUGCGAAAGCAUUUGCCAAGGAUGUUUUCAUUGAUCAAGAACGAAAGUAAGGGGAUCGAAGACGAUUAGAUACCGUCGUAGUCUUUACCAUAAACUAUGCCAACUAGAGAUGGGACAUCGUUCACUUAAGACUUGUUCCGCACCUUAUGAGAUAUCAAAGUCUUUGGGUUCCGGGGGGAGUAUGGUCGCAAGUCUGAAACUUAAAGGAAUUGACGGAAGGGCACCACCAGGAGUGGAGCCUGCGGCUUAAUUUGACUCAACACGGGGAAACUCACCAGGUCCAGACAUAAUAAGGAUUGACAGAUUGAUAGCUCUUUCUUGAUUUUAUGGGUGGUGGUGCAUGGCCGUUCUUAGUUCGUGGAGUGAUUUGUCUGCUUAAUUGCGUUAACGAACGAGACCUUAACCUGCUAAAUAGGAGCGCCUAUCUCCGGAUAAGCGCCUUUCUUCUUAGAGGGACUUUAUGCGUUUCAGCAUGAGGAAGUUUGAGGCUAAAACAGGUCUGUGAUGCC